Molecule: non-coding RNA, 242 nt
Organism: Pelobates cultripes (western spadefoot toad)
Lineage: Eukaryota; Metazoa; Chordata; Amphibia; Anura; Pelobatidae
Source: the annotation of a GenBank genome assembly
AUAUAUAUAUAUAUAUAUAUAUAUAUAUAUAUAUAUAAAUAUAUUAUUUUAAUUGGGGUAGCCCCCAAAAUAUUGGGACAAUGUGCUCCCCAACGAGAAGACGAUGACGCAUUCGUAUGUCAAUCCAUAUCAACUUUCGAUGCCAUUGACUGCGCCUACCAUGGUGACCACGGGUAACGGAGAAUCAGGGUUCGAUUCUGUACAGAGACACGGACAAACGGCUACCACAUGCAAGGAAGGCA